This 427-nucleotide ribosomal RNA is filed under the name uncultured archaeon. RNAcentral's name for it is "bacterial SSU rRNA". It matches the Rfam family "Archaeal small subunit ribosomal RNA", at positions 474 to 903 of the family's 1478-position model. The record is from RNAcentral.
UACCAGCUCUCCGAGUUGUAGGGAUGAUUAUUGGGCUUAAAGCGUCCGUAGCUGGCUUAGCAAGUCUCCUGUUAAAUUCAGCGACCUAAUCGUUGAGCCGCGGGAGAUACUACUAGGCUAGGAGGCGGGAGAGGUCGACGGUACUUUCGGGGUAGGGGUGAAAUCCUAUAAUCCCGGGAGGACCACCAGUGGCGAAGGCUGUCGACUAGAACGCGCUCGACGGUGAGGGACGAAAGCUGGGGGAGCGAACCGGAUUAGAUACCCGGGUAGUCCCAGCUGUAAACUAUGCGGGCUAGGUGUUGGGGUGGCUACGGGCCACUUCAGUGCCGCAGGAAGCCAUUAAGCCCGCCGCCUGGGGAGUACGGCCGCAAGGCUGAAACUUAAGGAAUUGGCGGGGGAGCACCACAAGGCGUGAAGCUUGCGGUCC